Molecule: RNA transcript, 4293 nt
Organism: Phyllostomus discolor (pale spear-nosed bat)
Lineage: Eukaryota; Metazoa; Chordata; Mammalia; Chiroptera; Phyllostomidae
Gene: RGS22
Gene name: regulator of G protein signaling 22
Exons: 27
Source: RefSeq, a predicted model, not a curated record
GGCGAGGCGGGGGCCACGGCCGCCGGCGCAGCCCCGGCCCCCCGCGCCGCACCGCGUCGGCGGCCGCUCCGGGGAGACUCGGCUCCGGGCGGCGCCGGCCUUCGCUGAUGGGGCCCUGACGGCCCGCGCGGACGCGGGGCGAGCGCAACGGCGGCGGCGGCAUGCCGGAGCAGCGGCUCACCGCCGAGCCACCAACUAUUACAGAAGCAGAAUUUGAGAAUUCUUUGGCAACAGAUAAUUUCCUCGUGGAGUACUUUAAUGAAUUUCUAAGUCUUCCAACCUUUUCAGAGGCAAUUAGAUUUAACGCAGAUUAUGGAGUUUUUGAAGUCAUUAACAAUGCCCCACAACUUCUGGAGAAGCAACUGAAAAAAAUUCUGCAAAGCCAGCAACCUCGCAAUCCCAUCUAUGAUGUUGUAAGGAAAGGGAAGAAUGAUGUUCAGCCAUUUCAAGUGAAUGUGCCCUAUGAAGAUGAGACCCUUAAUGUCAACUACAAUAUUAUGUGUCUCAGUCGUGAACAAGGCAUUCAGUGGAUCAAGAAAGAAAGGCUUCCAGCGUUUCUGGAAAGUGAUUGCUAUUUUGAAUACAGGUUAGCCAAGCUGGUUUCACAAGUGAGAUGGAGUAGAUCAGGCAUGACUAUCAUGGUAGAUACAGACAUUUCUCCCUGGGUCUUGAGGAAACCACCCACUCCGCCUCCUCCCCCCACUGAAGAUGACAACACUAUCCUUAUGAAAAAGUUCUACGUUUCUCUUGGCGAGGCCUCCUCUACUCAAACAAAAGAUUGGUUCGCACUAGCAAGACAAAGUCAGCAUACAGUAUCAACCUUUCCAUUACCAUCUGCUGUACACCACAGCAGAACUGAACCACCAGUUAUUUCAUCUGAAUCUGAGAGUCUUAUCUUUGAUGAUGGAGUUCACCCCAGGACGAAAAAGCGGCCAUCUAAAACCACUAGCUUAAUUUCGGUGGAGGUCGAAGAAGAAGACGGGUCUGUCUCUCUACAAGACACUCCUUCUCACGCGCUUCUGAGAAUAUAUCUCGAGAAGAAAUCGGGUGCUGGCGAAAACCUGACAUUGCAUUUCUCGACAUGUGAAGAAUUUUUAAGAUCUUAUAUAACCUUUACUUUGAAAGCAGCAAUUCAUGAAAUGUUUGGGCAGCCAUUUUUAGAAAGCCAGGAUGUUAUAAGCUUCAAAAAUGUAACAGAAGUGAUAGUUGAUCAGUGUCCUGAGCUUAUUUCUGACAAGAACGUUUUGUUGAGUGAAACAACACAACCCCCAGAGGGAAAGGCGGAAGAGAUGUUGGAAGAAACAAGUUCAAAGAGUGAGAGUGUUGGGUCAGAAAGUAGAGCUGAUUGGUGUGUUUCUCACAAAACUUACGACAUUGGCAACCGAAAGGAGUUCGAAAGAUUUAAGAAAUUUAUCAAAGGUACAUUAGGGGAGAGAUAUUGGUGGCUAUGGAUGGAUAUUGAGAGAUUAAAAGUUCUUAAGGAUUCUGGAAGACAUCAAAGACAUCUUGAGAAGAUGAAAAAGCGCUAUCUAGCGAGCAGUGGCGAUUGCUACCUUUCUGCAGAAAUCUUAACAAAAUUUAAACUGCUAGAUGGAUCUCAGUGGAAUAAUGAACACUUAAGAAAUAUUCAGACUGAGGUUGUAAAACCCUUACUUCUGUAUUGGGCACCAAGAUUCUGUGUGACCCAUUCAUAUGCAAUAAAACACGCUAGUGCUGAGCUGAAACUGUGGCACCUCCGUCAAGAGAAACCAAGGAAGGAUGUGGACCCUUUCCCCCAAAUACCAACCCUCUUGCCUUUAAGACCUAAGUCUUGCACUCCACAGCUAUCUGAUAUACAGAAAGAAGAAUCCAGUUUAGUACAACUUUCUAAAUCUCCCAAGAAACCAUCUACAGCAAUUCAAAGACCUUGGAAGAGCGAGACUUGGUAUUCAGUUUCUUCCAAGGAUGACGUGGCCGAGAAAGGGUCACGAUACAAGAGAGACAGCAACGAAGUUAUUUGUUUAACAUCUUUUACUGACAUUUCUGAAUGUCUGAAGCCCCACCUGGAUAGAAAAUAUACUUAUACAGAAGAACCUUUGGUUAAAACCACAGCAGAUGGUGCCUUGGGAGGAUUUGACAUGGAGAAUUUGUUGCAAUCUUUGUAUGUAGAAAAUAGAUCUGGAUUCUUCUUUACUAAAUUCUGUGAGCAUUCAGGGAACAAGUUGUGGCAGAACUGUGUGUACUUCUGGUUUGACCUCCAGGCUUAUCAUCAGCUUUUCUACCAAGACACACUUCACCCUGUGAAAGUGUGCAAGCAGGCCCAGUAUCUUUUUGCCACAUAUGUUGCUCCUUCGGCCACUCUUGACAUCGGACUCCAACAGGAAAAGAAAAGAGAAAUUUAUAUGAAGAUACAGCCACCAUUUGAAGACCUUUUUGACACAGCAGAGGAAUAUAUCCUUCUCCUGCUGCUCGAGCCCUGGACAAUGAUGGUGAAGUCAGACCAGAGCGCUUACAGACAGGUGAACUUGAUGGAGGAAACUCGACAGCUAGACUCCAUAUGCUUUAGAAAGCUACAGGCUUUGCAUAAAGUGAUGCAUUCCAAGAAAGCUGAGGACACUACUCCUGAAAUUGAAACUGGUAUUUCACAACAUCCUGAUAUCCCUAAGGAAACACAAUACUGGAAUAACGUUCCUGCAGAAUAUAGGCAUUUUGCUUUUGAUGAUCUGCUUAAAAACAAACUGGAGUUUGAACAUUUCCGUCAGUUUCUUGAGGCUCAUUCAUCCAGCAUGGACCUCAUGUGCUGGGCAGACAUCGAGCAGUUCCGAAGAAUAAGUUACAAAGAUCAAAAGGAAAGGGAGGCAAAAUCUAUGUAUAUUAAAAACAAAUACCUUAAUAAAAAAUAUUUCUUUGGACCUAACAGCCCCGCUUCUCUGCGCCAGCAGGACAAGAUAAUGAAUAUGAGUGGUGGCUGGGGAAGGAUUCUCCAUGAGCAGCUUGAUGCACCUGUUCUACUUGAAGUUCAGAAGCGUGUCCUAGAUAGGCUAGAAAACGUGUGGUUGCCAUUGUUUCUUGCAAGUGAACAGUUUGCAGCACGUCAAAAGAUAAAGGUACAGCUGAGAGACAUAGCUGAAGAGUUCUUACUACUGAAACAUGAAGGGAAAAUUGGGAUUUGGAAGCCUGUGGAGAGUAAGUGGAUAUCUUCAUCUAGUGAAAUCAUUGCUUUUCGUAAAGCAUUAUUGAAUCCAGUUACUGCAAGACAAUUUCAACGGUUUGUGGCUCUAAAAGGAGAUUUACUGGAAAACGGGGUGCUCUUUUGGCAAGAAGUACAAAAAUAUAAGGACUUGUGCCACUCUCACUGUGAAGAGUCCAUCAUCCAGAAUAAGAUCACGACUAUUAUCAACUGCUUCAUUAAUUCCAGUAUUCCCCCAGCUUUACAAAUUGACAUCCCGUGGGAGCAAGCCCAGAAGAUUAUUGAGCACAGGAAGGAGUUAGGACCAUAUGUGUUUAGAGAGGCCCAGAUGACAAUUUUUGGGGUUCUGUUUAAAUUUUGGCCUCAGUUUUGUGAGUUUAGGAAGAACUUAACUGAUGAAAAAAUAAUGAGUGUUUUAGAGAGAAGACAAGAAUAUAAGAAAAAGAAAUUGGCAGUUGCAGAAGAUGAAAAACUUGCAAAGGAUGGAGUUAAACAAUAUGCAAGUGCUUCAGGAGCUGCUGUCAAAAUAGGUGGUUUAGUCAGCGACUCAGUUUUAGGCUUGCAAGCAUACGGCCGACAGCCAAGCUGGUGCUACUCAAAAUAUAUAGAAGCCUUAGAACAGGAAAGGAUUCUUCUUAAAGUUCAAGAAGAACUAGAAAAGAAGUUGUUUGCAGUUCUGCCUUUGCCCUGGCCAUUCUGAAUAUAGAGGGCAGGAAGAUGUGAGGACUGACUCCCUCCCAACUGAUCUGACCCCUCGAGUUAUGAGAAUUUUCGUGUGUGUGAGUGCGUGUGUGAGAGUGUGUGUGUGUGUGUGUGUGUGUGUGAGUGUGUGUGUCUGGUUUCUCUCUCUCUCUCUUUGCUGAGGAGGAACAACAUACACCUAACACUUCAUCCGUCUCCACAGUGACAGCAUUCAUGAAUUCUUUAAAUCAAAUGCGACUGGCCUGGGAGCGUGAGUGAUUUUUCAGUGGUCUGCGUUAGAGCAAGCCUGCCAUCUAAAUAAAGUUUGACUUGUUUUCCUCCCACAGUUUUAAAAUUAUAGCUAUUCUGUGCACAGGACAUACAGACUAUAAAAGUUUUAAAACUUAUUUAGAAUCAAACUACUAUGUAGGUUAGAAAAAAAA